AGAGUUUGAUCAUGGCUCAGGAUGAACGCUAGCUACAGGCUUAACACAUGCAAGUCGAGGGGCAGCAUGGGAGUAGCUUGCUACUCUUGAUGGCGACCGGCGCACGGGUGCGUAACACGUAUCCAAUCUACCCAUGGCUCGGGAAUAGCCUUUCGAAAGAAAGAUUAAUGCCCGAUGGUCUGUGAUUGAGACAUCUCGAACACAGUAAAGAUUAAUCGGCGAUGGAUGAGGAUGCGUCUGAUUAGGUAGUAGGCGGGGUAACGGCCCACCUAGCCGACGAUCAGUAGGGGUUCUGAGAGGAAGGUCCCCCACAUUGGAACUGAGACACGGUCCAAACUCCUACGGGAGGCAGCAGUGAGGAAUAUUGGUCAAUGGUCGAGAGACUGAACCAGCCAAGUAGCGUGAAGGAAGACUGCCCUAUGGGUUGUAAACUUCUUUUGUUUGGGAAUAAAGUGGGUCACGUGUGGCCUUUUGUAUGUACCAUACGAAUAAGCAUCGGCUAAUUCCGUGCCAGCAGCCGCGGUAAUACGGAAGAUGCGAGCGUUAUCCGGAUUUAUUGGGUUUAAAGGGAGCGUAGGCGGCCUGUUAAGUCAGCGGUUAAAUGUCAGUGCCCAACAUUGGCAUGCCGUUGAUACUGGUGGGCUUGAAUACACACAAGGAUGGUGGAAUUUCGUCGUGUAGCGGUGAAAUGCUUAGAUAUGACGAAGAACUCCGAUUGCGAAGGCAGCCAUCUGGGGUGCGAUUGACGCUGAGGCUCGAAAGUGCGGGAAUCAAACAGGAUUAGAUACGCUGGUAGUCCGCGCAGUAAACGAUGGACACUCGGGAUUUGCCCCUUGCGGGUGAGUCCCCCAGCGAAAGCGUUAAGUGUCCCACCUGGGGAGUACGCCGGCAACGGUGAAACUCAAAGGAAUUGACGGGGGCCCGCACAAGCGGAGGAACAUGUGGUUUAAUUCGAUGAUACGCGAGGAACCUUACCCGGGCUUGAAAUGUGACCGACGACCCCGAGAGACCGGGGUUUCCUUCGGGCGGUCAUGUAGGUGCUGCAUGGUUGUCGUCAGCUCGUGCCGUGAGGUGUCGGCUUAAGUGCCAUAACGAGCGCAACCCCUUCCGCCGGUUACCAUCGGGUCAUGCCGGGGACUCCGGCGGCACUGCCGCCGCAAGGCGCGAGGAAGGCGGGGAUGACGUCAAAUCAGCACGGCCCUUACGUCCGGGGCCACACACGUGUUACAAUGGGGGGCACAGCGAGCUGGGGCAUGGCGACAUACCCCGAAUCACGAAAUCCCCUCCCAGUUCGGACCGGAGUCUGCAACCCGACUCCGCGAAGCCGGAUUCGCUAGUAAUCGCGCAUCAGCCAUGGCGCGGUGAAUACGUUCCCGGGCCUUGUACACACCGCCCGUCAAGCCAUGAAAGCCUGGGGCGCCUGAAGUCCGUUGCGGCGACGCGCGGCCGAGGGCGAUACAGGUGAUUGGGGCUAAGUCGUAACAAGGUAACCGUA
This 1495-nucleotide ribosomal RNA is filed under the name uncultured rumen bacterium. Its description in RNAcentral is "bacterial SSU rRNA". It matches the Rfam family "Bacterial small subunit ribosomal RNA". The record is from RNAcentral.